RNAcentral lists this ribosomal RNA (862 nucleotides) under uncultured Bacillota bacterium. RNAcentral's name for it is "bacterial SSU rRNA". It matches the Rfam family "Bacterial small subunit ribosomal RNA", at positions 27 to 896 of the family's 1533-position model. Lineage: Bacteria; Bacillati; Bacillota. The record is from RNAcentral.
GGACGAACGCUGGCGGCGUGCCUAACACAUGCAAGUCGAGCGGAGGUAUUCAAGGAGCAAUCUGCGGAUACUUUAGCGGCGGACGGGUGAGUAACGCGUGAGCAACCUGCCUUUCACAGGGGGAUAAGGCGGCGAAAGCCGCUCUAAUACCGCAUGAGACCCCGGUGGUGAUACCACAGCGGUCAAAGGAGCAAUCCGGUGAGAGAUGGGCUCGCGUCCGAUUAGGUAGUUGGUGAGGUAAAGGCUCACCAAGCCAAUGAUCGGUAGCCGGCCUGAGAGGGUGAACGGCCACAUUGGAACUGAGAGACGGUCCAAACUCCUACGGGAGGCAGCAGUGGGGAAUAUUGGGCAAUGGGGGAAACCCUGACCCAGCAACGCCGCGUGAGGGAAGAAGGUUUUCGGAUUGUAAACCUCUGUUCUUGGGGAAGAGCAGAAGACGGUACCCAAGGAGGAAGCCCCGGCUAACUACGUGCCAGCAGCCGCGGUAAUACGUAGGGGGCGAGCGUUGUCCGGAAUGAUUGGGCGUAAAGGGCGCGUAGGCGGCUGUGUAAGUCAGUAGUGGAAGUCCAGCUUUUAAGGUUGGAAGUGCUAUUGAAACUGUGCAGCUUGAGUGCAGGAGAGGUUAUCGGAAUUCCUGGUGUAGCGGUGGAAUGCGCAGAUAUCAGGAGGAACACCAGUGGCGAAGGCGGCUUCCUGGCACAAUACUGACGCUCAUGUGCGAAAGCUAGGGCAGCGAACGGGAUUAGAUACCCCGGUAGUCCUAGCCGUAAACGAUGGAUACUAGGUGUGGGUGUCGCAGGGCAUCCGUGCCGCAGUUAAUCGCGUUAAGUAUCCCGCCUGGGGACCUACGGUCGCAAGACUG